RNAcentral lists this ribosomal RNA (565 nucleotides) under uncultured archaeon. RNAcentral describes it as "bacterial SSU rRNA". It matches the Rfam family "Archaeal small subunit ribosomal RNA", at positions 312 to 879 of the family's 1478-position model. The record is from RNAcentral.
CGCCAUUCGCCCUUCGGGGUGCCCAGGCGCGAAAACUCCACAAUGUACGACAGUACGAUGGGGUUAUCUCGAGUGCAGUCCGAUAAGGGCUGCUUUUCCAUAGAGUAAUAUCCUGUGGGAAUAAGAGGGGGGCAAGACUGGUGUCAGCCGCCGCGGUAACACCAGCCCCUCGAGUGGUGGGGACUAUUAUUUGGUCUAAAGCGUCCGUAGCUGGCUGUAUCCGUCCCCCGUUAAAUCCAGCGUCCUAAGCGUUGGACUGCGGGUGAUACCAUACAGCUAGAGGGUGGGAUAGGUGAGCGGUAUUUCUGGGGUAGGGGCGAAAUCCUUUGAUCCCAGGAGGACCACCAGUGGCGAAGGCUGCUCACUAGAACACGCCUGACGGUCAGGGACGAAAGCUGGGGCAGCGAACCGGAUUAGAUACCCGGGUAGUCCCAGCUGUAAACGAUGCCAGCUANGGUGUUGGGUCGGCCACGCGCCGCCCCAGUGCCGCAGGGAAGCCGUUAAGCUGGCCACCUGGGGAGUACGGCCGCAAGGCUGAAACUUAAAGGAAUUGGCGGGGGAGCAC